RNAcentral lists this ribosomal RNA (292 nucleotides) under uncultured bacterium. RNAcentral's name for it is "partial 16S ribosomal RNA". It matches the Rfam family "Bacterial small subunit ribosomal RNA", at positions 505 to 796 of the family's 1533-position model. The record is from RNAcentral.
GUGUCAGCAGCCGCGGUAAUACGAAGGGGGCUAGCGUUGUUCGGAAUUACUGGGCGUAAAGGGCGUGUAGGUGGCUCUCUAAGUCAGGUGUGAAAGGCCUGGGCUCAACCCAGGACGUGCACUUGAGACUGAAGAGCUUGAGUCCGGGAGAGGAUGGUGGAACUCCCAGUGUAGAGGUGAAAUUCGUAGAUAUUGGGAAGAACACCCGUGGCGAAGGCGGCCAUCUGGACCGGUACUGACACUAAAGCGCGACAGCGUGGGGAGCAAACAGGAUUAGAUACCCUGGUAGUCC